Molecule: long non-coding RNA, 1178 nt
Organism: Oreochromis niloticus (Nile tilapia)
Lineage: Eukaryota; Metazoa; Chordata; Actinopteri; Cichliformes; Cichlidae
Exons: 4
Source: RefSeq, a predicted model, not a curated record
CCUGAGGGGGAAAAGGUGGCAGGUUCUGCAAGAUACAUGGAAGAAACUACCUGCCAAGCACCUUGGGAACCUUUGAGCACCAAUUAACAAGUAAUAAUUUGCACUUUUAGAAAGGGAAAGGAUAACUACACCAAAUCUAGAGAUUAUAUAUCAGCUUCAUAAGAAAAAAGUUGAAAUAAUGGGAUCUUUCUCUUAAUGUUUAUUAGCCAGCAUGGCCUUUGGGGAAAAGAGUUGCCCACAGGUGUGCUGAGGUUGUGCUGGAACUGCACCAGCUGUGCAAGACCAAGGAAGGUGUUCAAAAAGGUUUGCAUGGAGACAGCCAGGUUUUAAUAUUCAGUCCUUUAAUAAUAAACUUCUAAAUGUACGUGAAGCUGUAGGAAACCCCGACAAAGUGAACUAAAGACAACAACUUCCGCAUAACACUCACACUAUCAAGUGUGCUGCUAAUGCUGUCAGCUAGCUAACCACGUUAACGACACAGAGUGAAGGCCGAGACGAGCCAGGCAGCUCCAACAGGAAAUAGAACCAAUAUGGACUUCAAGUAAUUCUCCCGCACAAAGAGAAUGACCUUCAUCUGAAUGCCGCCAUCGGCUGAGAUUCUGCCACAGACUGUGGAUUCGCCUGAUGAUUAGAAAUGAAGGUAUCACUUACUGGUACCCUUUGAGGGUAACCAAAGCUGCAUGACUCAACAUUAGGAAGCAAAAUUGUAGGAUGUCCAGUCCAAGAACACCUUCAGAGUUCAAACAUACCUGAGGGCCAGCUCUGCCAACGACUUCAUCAAACUGUGGAAAAGACAGACAUUACCAUCAGGUCCAGGGAAGCCAUCCAGGCCUGGUUGCCCAUCUCUUCCAGCAGGACCUUCAUCACCCUUCUCACCUGGUCUGCCGGGCAAGCCGGGGUUACCCUGCAGAAGAACACUCAAUUUGAGCUGGUGGCAAACAAAAUUAUAAACGAAGAAGAAGAAACUGGCAGCAAACAGGAAACAGAGCAGGAACUUGAACUUCUAAAUCUUGCUUCCGUGACUUCAUGUGGAACACAUCAAGCUAGAUUUGAUGUUUCGCAAGAAGGAGGGCAAAACUUAAUGCAAAGGGCGAUGAUAAUCAGUGUCGACUGUUGGUUGGAUGGAUGUUGGUCUCUAACAACUAAUUACAAGAGUAAACUAUUUAUAUGGACUUAAA